This 662-nucleotide ribosomal RNA is filed under the name uncultured bacterium. RNAcentral describes it as "bacterial SSU rRNA". It matches the Rfam family "Bacterial small subunit ribosomal RNA", at positions 8 to 651 of the family's 1533-position model. The record is from RNAcentral.
AGAGUUUGAUCCUGGCUCAGAUUGAACGCUGGCGGCAGGCUUAACACAUGCAAGUCGUACGUGAAAUCGCCUUCGGGUGUGAGUAGCGUGGCGGACGGGUGAGUAACGCGUGGAUGACCUGCCCCUUGGUGGGGGAUAACCCGGGGAAACUCGGGCUAAUACCGCAUACGUCCGCGAGCUUUGGUUCGCGGGGAAAGCUGGCCUCUGAUGCAAGCUAGUGCCGAGGGAGGGGUCCGCGUCGGAUUAGCUGGUUGGUGGGGUAACGGCUCACCAAGGCGACGAUCCGUAGCUGGUCUGAGAGGAUGGUCAGCCACACUGGGACUGAGACACGGCCCAGACUCCUACGGGAGGCAGCAGUGGGGAAUCUUGGACAAUGGGGGCAACCCUGAUCCAGCCAUGCCGCGUGGGUGAAGAAGGCCUUCGGGUUGUAAAGCCCUUUCAGCAGGGAAGAAGCCUUCUGGUUCAAACAGGUCCGGAAGGUGACGCUACCUGCAGAAGAAGCGCCGGCCAACUCCGUGCCAGCAGCCGCGGUAACACGGAGGGCGCAAGCGUUAAUCGGAAUUACUGGGCGUAAAGGGCACGCAGGCGGCCCGUCAAGUGGGAUGUGAAAGCCCUGGGCUCAACCUAGGAAUUGCAUUCCAAACUGGCGGGCUAGAGUCCGG